GCUCGAUUAGCUCAGUUGGUUAGAGCGUGGUGCUAAUAACGCCAAGGUCACAGGUUCGACCCCUGUAUCGAGCA
Non-coding RNA from Borealophlyctis nickersoniae, 74 nucleotides. The record is from the annotation of a GenBank genome assembly. NCBI's taxonomy places the organism in Eukaryota, Fungi, Chytridiomycota, Chytridiomycetes, Rhizophlyctidales, Borealophlyctidaceae.